RNAcentral lists this ribosomal RNA (494 nucleotides) under uncultured bacterium. Its description in RNAcentral is "bacterial SSU rRNA". It matches the Rfam family "Bacterial small subunit ribosomal RNA", at positions 28 to 533 of the family's 1533-position model. The record is from RNAcentral.
GAUGAACGCUAGCGGCAGGCCUAAUACAUGCAAGUCAAGGGGAUAGCAAUAUCACCGGCGGACGGGUGCGUAACGCGUACACAACGUGCCCAAGGGCGGAGGAAAGCGGCGGGAAACUGCCGGUAAUACUCCAUGGUGUUGUUGAGUGGCAUCACUUAACAACUAAAGUACAAGCGCCCUUGGAUCGGUGUGCGUUCGAUUAGCUAGUUGGCGGGGUAACGGCCCACCAAGGCUUCGAUCGAUAGGGGGUGUGAGAGCAUGACCCCCCACACGGGUACUGAGACACGGACCCGACUCCUACGGGAGGCAGCAGUAAGGAAUAUUGGACAAUGGGCGGAAGCCUGAUCCAGCCAUGCCGCGUGAAGGACGAAGGCGCUCAGCGUUGUAAACUUCUUUUGGAUGGGAACAAUAACUCCGACUUGUCGGAACUUGAGGGUACCAUCAGAAUAAGCACCGGCUAACUCCGUGCCAGCAGCCGCGGUAAAGUACAGUGU